Molecule: ribosomal RNA, 404 nt
Filed under: Fusobacteriota bacterium
Lineage: Bacteria; Fusobacteriati; Fusobacteriota
Description: Fusobacteria bacterium partial 16S ribosomal RNA
Rfam family: Bacterial small subunit ribosomal RNA
Source: RNAcentral
UGGGGAAUAUUGCACAAUGGAGGGAACUCUGAUGCAGCGACGCCGCGUGAGUGAUGAAGGAAUUCGUUUCGUAAAACUCUGUUCUAUGGGAAGAAAAGGACUGUACCAUAGGAGAAAGCUCCGGCUAAAUACGUGCCAGCAGCCGCGGUAAUACGUAUGGAGCGAGCGUUGUCCGGAAUUAUUGGGCGUAAAGGGUGCGCAGGCGGCUUUACAAGUUGGAUGUGAAAUAUUGUGGCUCAACCACAAACGUGCAUCCAAAACUGCAAAGCUUGAGUUAAGGAGAGGUAAGUGGAAUUCCUGGUGUAGCGGUGGAAUGCGUAGAUAUCAGGAGGAAUACCGGUGGCGAAGGCAACUUACUGGACUUAAACUGACGCUCAGGCACGAAAGCGUGAGGAGCAAACAGG